CGCGGGUGCUAUAGGCAAGUCAUGCACUGCUGAGUGCGCAAGUGCCGGCUCUGUUUGACUUUCAGUGCCAGGAGGCUCCAGAUCACAAGAAUGGAAACAACCAAAAUUGAACUUGACUAAAAUUAUGAAUGCUACUCAGCAAAUAAGCAAUAUCAGAGAAGAACAGAACAGCAUCGUCUAUACAAAAGUUACACCUUUUUUGGAGGACAGUGAAUCAAUGAGUGAUGAAGAAGAUUCCUUUCCUAAGUCUUCAUCCCAAGCCCAGGACUGCUCUCCUAUCCUUCCUUUCCACCCCCCACCUGCUUACUUUUCAAAAUCUUCCCUUAUAAAGUCUACUCUUCUGGACAUUCUUAAUGUGAUUUUAUUUGCUAUGGUUCUUAUCAUUCUUGAUACCCUCUGUCCUUUUCUCCUAUGCUUACAGCCACUUCAUGGAAAUGUGAAGGAUUCUGGAAAUGGAACUCCUCAAAAGUAACAUCACAAGAAAAUUCAGGGAAUUUUAUAUAUUGAAGAUAAACAUUGAUGAAUCAGACAAUACAUGACAGCACAAUACAACUCUCAGAAAGAAGAACAAUUAGAAAGCAGGCAAGAUGAAUGACAUUUAAAAGAUUGCAAAAAUAAUGUGGCAGAGGAAGAAAAAAGUGAUGAAGAGGAAGAAAGAGAAAGGGAGAAAAGAUGGUUAGGAUGUUAUAAAACAGAGAGAAAUGAGAAUAUGUUAAUACAAAGGAUGAAGAAGAAAGUCAAAAUGAAGAUUUUGAAAAUAUGAAGUGUAAUGGGCUGAGGCUUGAGUUGAUGCACUGAGGUCCCAAACACAUGAGGCUAAAUAGUAAUUGGACCAUACUCUAUUAAUAUAUAAGCUUGGAGAAAGAAUGGCCCCCACCCACUCUUUGUGCACGUGCUGAUGUGUUGUAUAGGAAAUGAAGAUUUUUGUGGGUGGAGGCAGGGGAGUGGAAAAGGAAGGGGAGGAGAGACUGCUUGCUUUUGUCAUUGUGACAACCUUUCAAUUCAGAUCCCUCUCUGUUAGCUGGCUUCCUGUCGCAGCUGCCCAUAUUGCUAUCACAAUCUUUCUUGCCCAUAUUGCUAUCACAAUCCUUAUUCACCUCUUCACUUCAGUAAAGAUUGAAGAUUUUCCCCUUAACCUGAAUUCCUGACUCCAGCUGAUUUUAAAUACGCUGUCAUUACAAUUGGCGCUCAAGCAUGGGAACCAAGGACCCUAUUUUCACUGAAGAAGUCUCCAGUGACCAGGAACUUAGGACUGGAAAAAGAAAAUACAGCGUACCCUUGGAAUUCAGAGGUUAAUAAACACUGAAAUAGUAGCUGUUACAUACCAGGCAGUGUGCAAGAGAUGGAAAGAUUAAAAGCAAAAGAUCUAUACAACAUGUAACAUAAAAGGAAACCAUUACAUUGGAGGUUGGAGGAAUCUACCUAUUUCUGCAACAUAGUGGAAAAGUCAAAGAAGUCCCAAAGUGAGAAAUGAGAUGUCAAAUUCAUGGCUCUUCCCUUCAGUCAGAGGAUAUUUAUCUUUUCUUCUAGAUUAUUAAAAUUUGAGAAUAAGAA
This is a long non-coding RNA of Antechinus flavipes (yellow-footed antechinus), 1554 nucleotides long. RefSeq lists it as uncharacterized. The transcript has 5 exons. NCBI's taxonomy places the organism in Eukaryota, Metazoa, Chordata, Mammalia, Dasyuromorphia, Dasyuridae. The record is from RefSeq and is a predicted model, not a curated record.